This 560-nucleotide ribosomal RNA is filed under the name Pseudomonas sp. N1-1. Its description in RNAcentral is "bacterial SSU rRNA". It matches the Rfam family "Bacterial small subunit ribosomal RNA", at positions 137 to 692 of the family's 1533-position model. Lineage: Bacteria; Pseudomonadati; Pseudomonadota; Gammaproteobacteria; Pseudomonadales; Pseudomonadaceae. The record is from RNAcentral.
UGGGGGACAACGUUUCGAAAGGAACGCUAAUACCGCAUACGUCCUACGGGAGAAAGCAGGGGACCUUCGGGCCUUGCGCUAUCAGAUGAGCCUAGGUCGGAUUAGCUAGUUGGUGGGGUAAUGGCUCACCAAGGCGACGAUCCGUAACUGGUCUGAGAGGAUGAUCAGUCACACUGGAACUGAGACACGGUCCAGACUCCUACGGGAGGCAGCAGUGGGGAAUAUUGGACAAUGGGCGAAAGCCUGAUCCAGCCAUGCCGCGUGUGUGAAGAAGGUCUUCGGAUUGUAAAGCACUUUAAGUUGGGAGGAAGGGCAGUAAGCUAAUACCUUGCUGUUUUGACGUUACCGACAGAAUAAGCACCGGCUAACUCUGUGCCAGCAGCCGCGGUAAUACAGAGGGUGCAAGCGUUAAUCGGAAUUACUGGGCGUAAAGCGCGCGUAGGUGGUUCGUUAAGUUGNAUGUGAAAGCCCCGGGCUCAACCUGGGAACUGCAUCCAAAACUGGCGAGCUAGAGUACGGUAGAGGGUGGUGGAAUUUCCUGUGUAGCGGUGAAAUGCGUA